Molecule: signal recognition particle RNA, 103 nt
Filed under: Methylotenera mobilis JLW8
Lineage: Bacteria; Pseudomonadati; Pseudomonadota; Betaproteobacteria; Nitrosomonadales; Methylophilaceae
Description: SRP RNA; RNA component of signal recognitionparti cle
Rfam family: Bacterial small signal recognition particle RNA
About the family: The signal recognition particle (SRP) is a universally conserved ribonucleoprotein involved in the co-translational targeting of proteins to membranes.
Source: RNAcentral
GGCGGGCCUCCCCGCAUUGUGAAGUAGCCAAUCUGGUCAGGUGCGGAAGCAAGCAGCCACAACUAUUAAGCAAGUGCCGGGGCAAAGGCUCGCCUCUUCUUUU